AGAGUUUGAUCAUGGCUCAGAACGAACGCUGGCGGCAGGCUUAACACAUGCAAGUCGAGCGCCCCGCAAGGGGAGCGGCAGACGGGUGAGUAACGCGUGGGAAUCUACCCAUCCCUACGGAAUAGCUCCGGGAAACUGGGAUUAAUACCGUAUACGCCCUACGGGGGAAAGAUUUAUCGGGGAUGGAUGAGCCCGCGUUGGAUUAGCUAGUUGGUGGGGUAAAGGCCUACCAAGGCGACGAUCCAUAGCUGGUCUGAGAGGAUGAUCAGCCACAUUGGGACUGAGACACGGCCCAAACUCCUACGGGAGGCAGCAGUGGGGAAUAUUGGACAAUGGGGGCAACCCUGAUCCAGCCAUGCCGCGUGAGUGAUGAAGGCCUUAGGGUUGUAAAGCUCUUUCACCGGGGAAGAUAAUGACGGUACCCGGAGAAGAAGCCCCGGCUAACUUCGUGCCAGCAGCCGCG
Molecule: ribosomal RNA, 463 nt
Filed under: uncultured Rhizobiaceae bacterium
Lineage: Bacteria; Pseudomonadati; Pseudomonadota; Alphaproteobacteria; Hyphomicrobiales; Rhizobiaceae
Description: bacterial SSU rRNA
Rfam family: Bacterial small subunit ribosomal RNA
Source: RNAcentral